This 253-nucleotide ribosomal RNA is filed under the name uncultured bacterium. RNAcentral's name for it is "partial 16S ribosomal RNA". It matches the Rfam family "Bacterial small subunit ribosomal RNA", at positions 524 to 776 of the family's 1533-position model. The record is from RNAcentral.
UACGGAGGGGGCUAGCGUUGUUCGGAAUUACUGGGCGUAAAGCGCACGUAGGCGGCUUUGUAAGUUAGAGGUGAAAGCCCGGAGCUCAACUCCGGAAUAGCCUUUAAGACUGCAUCGCUAGAACGUUGGAGAGGUAAGUGGAAUUCCGAGUGUAGAGGUGAAAUUCGUAGAUAUUCGGAAGAACACCAGUGGCGAAGGCGACUUACUGGACAACUGUUGACGCUGAGGAGCGAAAGCGUGGGUAGCAAACAGG